GCCGGUGUGUCGGAAUUGGCAGACGAGACAGACUCACAAUCUGUUAUCCGCAAGGGUGUGUGGGUUCGAGUCCCACCACCGGCACCA
This 87-nucleotide transfer RNA is filed under the name Candidatus Faecousia gallistercoris. Its description in RNAcentral is "tRNA-Val". It matches the Rfam family "tRNA". From Rfam's summary of the family: Transfer RNA (tRNA) molecules are approximately 80 nucleotides in length. Their secondary structure includes four short double-helical elements and three loops (D, anti-codon, and T loops). Lineage: Bacteria; Bacillati; Bacillota; Clostridia; Eubacteriales; Oscillospiraceae. The record is from RNAcentral.